GUCUAUGGCCAUGCCACCCUGAAUGUGCCUGAUCUCGGAAGCCAAGCAGGGUCGGGCCUGGUUAGUACUUGAUGGGAGACCACCUAGGAAUACCAGGUGCUGCAGGCG
Molecule: ribosomal RNA, 108 nt
Filed under: Pteropus alecto (black flying fox)
Lineage: Eukaryota; Metazoa; Chordata; Mammalia; Chiroptera; Pteropodidae
Source: RNAcentral